This 969-nucleotide ribosomal RNA is filed under the name Bacillus sp. (in: firmicutes). Its description in RNAcentral is "bacterial SSU rRNA". It matches the Rfam family "Bacterial small subunit ribosomal RNA", at positions 38 to 983 of the family's 1533-position model. The record is from RNAcentral. Lineage: Bacteria; Bacillati; Bacillota; Bacilli; Caryophanales; Bacillaceae.
GGCAUGGCGAGAGCUAUAAUGCAGUCGAGCGGACAGAUGGGAGCUUGCUCCCUGAUGUUAGCGGCGGACGGGUGAGUAACACGUGGGUAACCUGCCUGUAAGACUGGGAUAACUCCGGGAAACCGGGGCUAAUACCGGAUGGUUGUUUGAACCGCAUGGUUCAGACAUAAAAGGUGGCUUCGGCUACCACUUACAGAUGGACCCGCGGCGCAUUAGCUAGUUGGUGAGGUAACGGCUCACCAAGGCGACGAUGCGUAGCCGACCUGAGAGGGUGAUCGGCCACACUGGGACUGAGACACGGCCCAGACUCCUACGGGAGGCAGCAGUAGGGAAUCUUCCGCAAUGGACGAAAGUCUGACGGAGCAACGCCGCGUGAGUGAUGAAGGUUUUCGGAUCGUAAAGCUCUGUUGUUAGGGAAGAACAAGUGCCGUUCAAAUAGGGCGGCACCUUGACGGUACCUAACCAGAAAGCCACGGCUAACUACGUGCCAGCAGCCGCGGUAAUACGUAGGUGGCAAGCGUUGUCCGGAAUUAUUGGGCGUAAAGGGCUCGCAGGCGGUUUCUUAAGUCUGAUGUGAAAGCCCCCGGCUCAACCGGGGAGGGUCAUUGGAAACUGGGGAACUUGAGUGCAGAAGAGGAGAGUGGAAUUCCACGUGUAGCGGUGAAAUGCGUAGAGAUGUGGAGGAACACCAGUGGCGAAGGCGACUCUCUGGUCUGUAACUGACGCUGAGGAGCGAAAGCGUGGGGAGCGAACAGGAUUAGAUACCCUGGUAGUCCACGCCGUAAACGAUGAGUGCUAAGUGUUAGGGGGUUUCCGCCCCUUAGUGCUGCAGCUAACGCAUUAAGCACUCCGCCUGGGGAGUACGGUCGGCAAGACUGAAACUCAAAUGAAUUGACGGGGGCCCGCACAUUCGGUGCAGCAUGUGCGUGUAAAUUCGAAGCAACGCGAGGAAUCAUUACCAGGUGCUUG